RNAcentral lists this ribosomal RNA (251 nucleotides) under uncultured bacterium. RNAcentral describes it as "partial 16S ribosomal RNA". It matches the Rfam family "Bacterial small subunit ribosomal RNA", at positions 524 to 776 of the family's 1533-position model. The record is from RNAcentral.
UACGUAGGGGGCAAGCGUUGUCCGGAUUUAUUGGGCGUAAAGAGCGUGUAGGCGGCCAUACAGGUCAGCUGUAAACUCGAGGCUCAACCUCGAGACGUCGGUUGAAACCGUAUGGCUAGAGUCCGGAAGAGGAGAGUGGAAUUCCCGGUGUAGCGGUGAAAUGCGCAGAUAUCGGGAAGAACACCUAUGGCGAAGGCAGCUCUCUGGGACGGUACUGACGCUGAGACGCGAAAGCGUGGGGAGCGAACAGG